RNAcentral lists this long non-coding RNA (216 nucleotides) under Vigna radiata. Its description in RNAcentral is "long non-coding RNA (VRAD_LNC017231)". Lineage: Eukaryota; Viridiplantae; Streptophyta; Magnoliopsida; Fabales; Fabaceae. The record is from RNAcentral.
CAUGACUGUGUUAAAGAUGUUGUCAAAGAAAUUCUUUUCUAUAUGCAUGACAUCCAGGUUAUGUCUCAGCAAGUUAUCCUUCCAAUACGGAAGAUCCCAAAAAAUGCUUCUCUUGGUCCAAUUAUGCCACUCCCCGAACCCUUCAAUCCUAUUGAUACCACUUUCAUUGACUUUUGGAAAAUGUUUAACUCUUCUCCAAACUUGAGAUGGAUUAAG